CCCUACGGGACGCAGCAGUGGGGAAUAUUGCACAAUGGGGGAAACCCUGAUGCAGCAACGCCGCGUGGGUGAAGGAGCGUUUCGGCGCGUAAAGCCCUGUCAGCGGGGAAGAAGAAAGACGGUACCCGACCAAGAAGCCCCGGCUAACUACGUGCCAGCAGCCGCGGUAAUACGUAGGGGGCAAGCGUUAUCCGGAUUUACUGGGUGUAAAGGGAGCGUAGACGGAAAGGCAAGUCAGAAGUGAAAGCCCAAGGCUCAACCAUGGGACUGCUUUUGAAACUGUCAAACUAGAGUACGGGAGAGGU
This 305-nucleotide ribosomal RNA is filed under the name uncultured bacterium. RNAcentral's name for it is "bacterial SSU rRNA". It matches the Rfam family "Bacterial small subunit ribosomal RNA", at positions 337 to 658 of the family's 1533-position model. The record is from RNAcentral.